Pelobates cultripes (western spadefoot toad) is the source of this 303-nucleotide non-coding RNA. The record is from the annotation of a GenBank genome assembly. NCBI's taxonomy places the organism in Eukaryota, Metazoa, Chordata, Amphibia, Anura, Pelobatidae.
UAGUAACAAGAGCAGAGGUAUCAGGAACAGUGGUGAAGGUAGGCAGUACGAGCAGUGAAGUGGGUUAGAAGUCCGUAAUUCAGAAGGAAUGGUGAAGAGUGAUUUGAGUCAUACUGAGUUGUAGGCAAAUUCAACGGUGGUGAGCAGGGUUUUCCAGUUGGACUGUAUGUGCGUGGUGUAGCAACUAAGAUAAGUGUAACAGAACUAUGAUUUUUCCCAUGCUUUUUGUCUGGACUUAAAUAACAACGCUGCUGGAUGUAUCACACAAAAACCGAAUGGCUAUUCGCGUGCGCAUACCUGGAU